UCUCAUCCUACUCCUAACAACAACAUAUUCAGAAAAAUAACAAGAAAUUCAAAACAGUUGACAAUCAAACAUUUAUUUAGCAUAAAGUUGACAUUUCAAAACUUCUUCAAAUUAAAUCAUUAAAAUCUUUUAAAAUUCUUUGCAAUUAUUGGUCGACCAUGUGCACUGUUGCAGACUCUCAUGACUCUCGGUGCAUGCAACCAGACGCCUAAUUAACGAAUUUUCACGUCGUUUGUAAAAUAGUUUAUGAAUAAUUAAGACGUUUUAAAUGUGCAGUUAUGGGGCGAACGCAAACAGAGCGACAACGAUUUGUGCAGAUUUCAUGAAGGAAACUCCCGAGCCUCAAAGGCGUAUGGACGUCUGUGGAGAUGUCAUGCAUGUUUAUAUGUACUAUCGAAAUGACUGUUCUUACUUGUUUAAUGUUGGUAACAAAUGUAGACCAAAGUCUUUCCAAAUUAUCCAAAAAAUUAUGUAUCGCCCCUCCCUUUUUGAGUGGGGGGCAUUGAUGAGCUACAAAAAACUGGGUAGUAGUGAUAUUCAGAAAAUAAUAAAAUAUAGAUAUAAAAAUUCCA
Zeugodacus cucurbitae (melon fly) is the source of this 572-nucleotide long non-coding RNA. RefSeq lists it as uncharacterized. NCBI's taxonomy places the organism in Eukaryota, Metazoa, Arthropoda, Insecta, Diptera, Tephritidae. The transcript is spliced from 2 exons. The record is from RefSeq and is a predicted model, not a curated record.